RNAcentral lists this small RNA (889 nucleotides) under Arabidopsis thaliana (thale cress). RNAcentral describes it as "ATSL296260". Lineage: Eukaryota; Viridiplantae; Streptophyta; Magnoliopsida; Brassicales; Brassicaceae. The record is from RNAcentral.
AAUUUCUAAAAUAUGUCCUUAACUCUCUUUUGAUGCCUUAAGUCAUUGCUUGAAUAGCUUUUGCAAUGGACCAGUCUUGUAAGCACAUCCGCUCAAACCAUAUGUUUUUUUGUCUUUGUAAAGAUAAAUCCCUUUAACAUUUACAAUUGAGCUGAAAUGCUCAACCAAUUAUAGUUUAAUCUUUUUUUCGAAAAGAGUUUUAACAAACCAUCUUAACAUAUGUUGUUUACAAACCGUUGGUAGCACGUCAGAGAAACAUUGGGUGACCACAACAACUCUUUAGCAAAAGCAAACUGAAUGAUUGCACUUUUGCUAUAAUCAUUCUUUUUGUCCUCAUCAAACUCAACUCCAACAACCAGAGCAACUGUUUUGAAGAACUCAUCAAUAGCUGCUCUGUCAACUAGGGGACCAGACCAGAAGCAAGCAAAACAUCUUGUAGAUAGUAUUCAUCUGUUGACGAAUCAUCUGAGCUAGAUGAACUCCAAGGUUCCUUGGUAGAAGGUUCUUUUGAUAAAGGAAAAAAUCGCAAGUAAAUCCUCCUUUUUGGGCAUCAAACUAAUGGACAUAACACAAAGUUCACUAUAAUUUCGACACAGUCCACAUCUUUUUUGAGAGAAUCCACAAUUAGUUUGAUAGAAUCCAUAUCAACUUUGAUUAACUACUGGUUGCAGUUAUAAAUUUUGUUCAAUCGUAAAUUUAACUACUAUAUAUACGGUUAAAAUGGUUGUGAUUAAAUACAGUUACGGGUAUAGAGAUUACGAUUAAAUACGAUUACGGUUAUUAGUGAUUAUGAUUAAUAUAGUGACGAAAUCUUACGAAUUAUCUAACUUUAUAUAGCAUUAUAACAUAUUUAUUUUAGAAAAGACCAUUUUGUGACGUAAUUGUUUUU